RNAcentral lists this ribosomal RNA (344 nucleotides) under uncultured bacterium. RNAcentral's name for it is "bacterial SSU rRNA". It matches the Rfam family "Bacterial small subunit ribosomal RNA", at positions 8 to 334 of the family's 1533-position model. The record is from RNAcentral.
AGGGUUUGAUCAUGGCUCAGGAUGAACGCUGGCGGCGUGCUUAACACAUGCAAGUCGAGCGAAGCACUUAAGAAAGAUUCUUCGGAUGAUUUCUUAUUUGACUGAGCGGCGGACGGGUGAGUAACGCGUGGGUAACCUGCCUCAUACAGGGGGAUAACAGUUAGAAAUGGCUGCUAAUACCGCAUAAGACCACAGUACCGCAUGGUACAGUGGUAAAAACUCCGGUGGUAUGAGAUGGACCCGCGUCUGAUUAGCUAGUUGGUGGGGUAAUGGCCUACCAAGGCGACGAUCAGUAGCCGACCUGAGAGGGUGACCGGCCACAUUGGGACUGAGACACGGCCCAG